GUAAGGAAUAUUGCGCAAUGGAGGCAACUCUGACGCAGCCAUGCCGCGUGCAGGAAGAAGGCGCUACGCGUUGUAAACUGCUUUUAACCGGGAAGAAACCCCAGGACGUGUCCUGGGUUGACGGUACCGGAGGAAUAAGCACCGGCUAACUUCGUGCCAGCAGCCGCGGUAAUACGAAGGGUGCAAGCGUUAUCCGGAUUCAUUGGGUUUAAAGGGUGAGUAGGCGGAGCGUUAAGUCAGUGGUGAAAUCCUGCAGCUUAACUGUAGACUUGCCAUUGAUACUGGCGCUCUUGAGUGCGCUUGAAGUGGGCGGAAUGUGCCGUGUAGCGGUGAAAUGCUUAGAUAUGGCACAGAACACCAAUUGCGAAGGCAGCUCACUAAGGCGAUACUGACGCUGAGGCACGAAAGCGUGGGGAUCGAACAGGAUUAGAAACCCCUGUAGUCC
Molecule: ribosomal RNA, 445 nt
Filed under: uncultured bacterium
Lineage: Bacteria
Description: partial 16S ribosomal RNA
Rfam family: Bacterial small subunit ribosomal RNA
Source: RNAcentral